This 253-nucleotide ribosomal RNA is filed under the name uncultured bacterium. RNAcentral describes it as "partial 16S ribosomal RNA". It matches the Rfam family "Bacterial small subunit ribosomal RNA", at positions 524 to 776 of the family's 1533-position model. The record is from RNAcentral.
UACGUAGGGGGCAAGCGUUAUCCGGAUUUACUGGGUGUAAAGGGAGCGUAGACGGCGAUGCAAGCCAGAUGUGAAAGCCCGUGGCUCAACCCCGGGACUGCAUUUGGAACUGUAUAGCUAGAGUGUCGGAGAGGCAGGCGGAAUUCCUAGUGUAGCGGUGAAAUGCGUAGAUAUUAGGAGGAACACCAGUGGCGAAGGCGGCCUGCUGGACGAUGACUGACGUUGAGGCUCGAAAGCGUGGGGAGCAAACAGG